AACGAACGCUGGCGGCAGGCUUAACACAUGCAAGUCGAGCGAGACCUUCGGGUCUAGCGGCGGCCGGGUGAGUAACGCGUGGGAACGUGCCCUUCUCUACGGAAUAGCCCCGGGAAACUGGGAGUAAUAGCGAAUACGCCCUUUGGGGGAAAGAUUUAUCGGAGAAGGUUCGGCCCGCGUUGGAUUAGGUAGUUGGUGGGGUAAUGGCCCACCAAGCCGACGAUCCAUAGCUGGUUUGAGAGGAAGGUCAGCCACACUGGGACUGAGACACGGCCCAGACUCCUACGGGAGGCAGCAGUGGGGAAUCGUAGACAAUGGGGGCAACGCUGAUCUAGCCAUGCCGCGUGAGUGAUGAAGGCCUUAGGGUUGUAAAGCUCUUUCAGCUGGGAAGAUAAUGACGGUACCAGCAGAAGAAGCCCCGGCUAACUCCGUG
Molecule: ribosomal RNA, 433 nt
Filed under: uncultured bacterium
Lineage: Bacteria
Description: partial 16S ribosomal RNA
Rfam family: Bacterial small subunit ribosomal RNA
Source: RNAcentral